Molecule: ribosomal RNA, 752 nt
Filed under: Klebsiella quasipneumoniae subsp. similipneumoniae
Lineage: Bacteria; Pseudomonadati; Pseudomonadota; Gammaproteobacteria; Enterobacterales; Enterobacteriaceae
Description: bacterial SSU rRNA
Rfam family: Bacterial small subunit ribosomal RNA
Source: RNAcentral
GAUUGAACGCUGGCGGCAGGCCUAACACAUGCAAGUCGAGCGGUAGCACAGAGAGCUUGCUCUCGGGUGACGAGCGGCGGACGGGUGAGUAAUGUCUGGGAAACUGCCUGAUGGAGGGGGAUAACUACUGGAAACGGUAGCUAAUACCGCAUAAUGUCGCAAGACCAAAGUGGGGGACCUUCGGGCCUCAUGCCAUCAGAUGUGCCCAGAUGGGAUUAGCUAGUAGGUGGGGUAAUGGCUCACCUAGGCGACGAUCCCUAGCUGGUCUGAGAGGAUGACCAGCCACACUGGAACUGAGACACGGUCCAGACUCCUACGGGAGGCAGCAGUGGGGAAUAUUGCACAAUGGGCGCAAGCCUGAUGCAGCCAUGCCGCGUGUGUGAAGAAGGCCUUCGGGUUGUAAAGCACUUUCAGCGGGGAGGAAGGCGAUAAGGUUAAUAACCUUGUCGAUUGACGUUACCCGCAGAAGAAGCACCGGCUAACUCCGUGCCAGCAGCCGCGGUAAUACGGAGGGUGCAAGCGUUAAUCGGAAUUACUGGGCGUAAAGCGCACGCAGGCGGUCUGUCAAGUCGGAUGUGAAAUCCCCGGGCUCAACCUAGGAACUGCAUUCGAAACUGGCAGGCUAGAGUCUUGUAGAGGGGGGUAGAAUUCCAGGUGUAGCGGUGAAAUGCGUAGAGAUCUGGAGGAAUACCGGUGGCGAAGGCGGCCCCCUGGACAAAGACUGACGCUCAGGUGCGAAAGCGUGGGGAGCA